Molecule: transfer RNA, 84 nt
Filed under: Chloroflexota bacterium
Lineage: Bacteria; Bacillati; Chloroflexota
Also listed under: 2 other names
Description: Chloroflexi bacterium (freshwater metagenome) tRNA-Leu
Rfam family: tRNA
About the family: Transfer RNA (tRNA) molecules are approximately 80 nucleotides in length.
Source: RNAcentral
GCCGAAGUGGCGGAACUGGCAGACGCGCACGACUCAAAAUCGUGUGGGCUUACGCCCUUGUGGGUUCGAUUCCCUCCUUCGGCA